UAAUUUACAAUUUUGGUCCUUAUGAUUUUUAAUGUAAUUAUCAGUGGCUUGUUUACAACUAUCUUGGAGAGGGGUGAUGAAAUGACUUUUCUUUGAUCCAAAGUCUACUGCCAAAGUUUAUGUAAGUUAUUUCUCAUUUAUUUGAUAUAAAAGAGAACUCUAUUUUUUUUGUAAAAGAUUGUUGGAUCAGACUCUAUUUACAUGAAUAUAAACUUUAGAUAAUAUGUGAAAUUGUGCUGAUAAAGAAGGGUAGUUCUAUAAUUUUCUUCAUAAUUAAAAAUCUUGUAGAUGCUCUGUAAUAGUCAACACAAAUGUUCAAAGAAUCAAAUGCUAGGAGAAAAGACAAUUUCCGAAGACCAGUAUGCAAACACGGUAUUUUCUUUCACCAACAUAUAUUACCAUUUACUUUUUGGUCGGAAUGGGAAUUGAAUUCCAUUCCGGUCCAACACUUGGUUUCAAAUGCUUCCAACAAAGUCUCCUUCCAUUGCAGGAAUAAGUAAGUG
This 503-nucleotide long non-coding RNA is filed under the name Lactuca sativa (garden lettuce). RNAcentral describes it as "long non-coding RNA (LSAT_LNC002227)". Lineage: Eukaryota; Viridiplantae; Streptophyta; Magnoliopsida; Asterales; Asteraceae. The record is from RNAcentral.